AUGAGGGCCUGCUUGUCUGAGUGAUAAUGGUUCUUCUCCCUCUCUUUGUGCUUUUCCUCCAUCCGCACCAGGUGGAGGAUGUGUCCCAGGUAGAUCAAUGUGGGCGUGGACACAAAGAUAAUCUGUAGAACCCAAAAGCGGACGUGGGAGAUAGGGAAUGUGAUAUCAUAGCACACAUUCUCACAACCAGGCUGUUUGGUGUCGCAGGUGAAGCCCGACAGCUCGUCACCCCAGACCUUCUCUGUGGCUGCGCUCAGGAUCAGGAUGCGGAAGAUGAAGAGGACGGUCAGCCACACCUUGCCCACAACGGUGGAGUGCUCCUGGGCUUUUUCCAGAAGCUUUCCCAGCAGGUUCCAGUCCCCCAUGGCUGUGUGAGCUCAGAUCUGGGACUAGAGGUUAGAGGGACUACAUAUAUUCUAAAACCUCUUACCCAGCUCGGACCAAACAAGCCUCAAGGGAGCAAGGCUGCUAACCAAGUGUUUAAGAGGGGGACUCUGUCGCCGAGCAGAGCUUUGAAAGCAGCGUUUGCAGGCCCUGCCAAUGAGGUCGGGAUACAAAACAGUCCACCGUGUUGGGGCAUGGAAACGAGUCACACUUCACCAACCGCACCAUCUUAAAGUCAGGGUAGAUCAUGUAGAAGAUGUAGAGGAAAGCCACCUCGAAGAUGAUUCUGAAGAUGAUACUGAGCAUGUAAGUCCACCACAGCGCUCCGGUGAUCUGAAACUUCUGGUUCUUGAUGCGUUCCAGCUCCUUGGGGCUACUGCGACCUGCCUUCUUCAUGAGCUUCUUAUCGAUGUGGCGUCGGUGGGCCACAUGCAUGGCCACCAGCAGGGCGGGGGUGGAGACCAGGAUGAGCUGGAGCGCCCACAGACGGAUGUGCGAAAUGGGAAAGAAUUGGUCAUAACAGACACUGUUGCAGCCAGGCUGCUGGGUGUUGCAGGUGAAGCCAGAUUUUUCAUCUCCCCAAACACUUUCAGCAGCAACAACCAGGACCAGGAUACGGAAGAUGAAGAUGACGGAGAGCCAAACACGUCCGAUGCCAGUUGAGUGCCUGUUUACGCCGCUGAUCACGGCAUAAAAGGUGCCCCAGUUCAUUUUGGACUC
Molecule: long non-coding RNA, 1104 nt
Organism: Notolabrus celidotus (New Zealand spotty)
Lineage: Eukaryota; Metazoa; Chordata; Actinopteri; Labriformes; Labridae
Exons: 4
Source: RefSeq, a predicted model, not a curated record